RNAcentral lists this ribosomal RNA (840 nucleotides) under Halopelagius sp. RNAcentral's name for it is "bacterial SSU rRNA". It matches the Rfam family "Archaeal small subunit ribosomal RNA", at positions 24 to 865 of the family's 1478-position model. The record is from RNAcentral. Lineage: Archaea; Methanobacteriati; Methanobacteriota; Halobacteria; Halobacteriales; Haloferacaceae.
UCAUUGCUAUCGGAGUCCGAUUUAGCCAUGCUAGUCGUGCGAGUUCAGACUCGCGGCAAAUAGCUCAGUAACACGUGGUCAAGCUACCCUGCAGAGAAGGAUAUCCUCGGGAAACUGAGGCCAAUACUUCAUAAGGUUCCUAAGCUGGAGUGCUGGGAACUGGAAACGUUCCGACGCUGCAGGAUGCGGCUGCGGUCGAUUAGGUAGACGGUGGGGUAACGGCCCACCGUGCCGAUAAUCGGUACGGGUUGUGAGAGCAAGAGCCCGGAGACGGAAUCUGAGACAAGAUUCCGGGCCCUACGGGGCGCAGCAGGCGCGAAACCUUUACACUGCACGCAAGUGCGAUAAGGGGACUCCGAGUGCGAGGGCAUAUAGUCCUCGCUUUUCUGUACCGUAGGAAGGUACAGGAAUAAGAGCUGGGCAAGACCGGUGCCAGCCGCCGCGGUAAUACCGGCAGCUCGAGUGAUGACCGAUUUUAUUGGGCCUAAAGCGUCCGUAGCUGGCCAGACAAGUCUGUCGGGAAAUCCAUCCGCUCAACGGAUGGGCGUCCGGCGGAAACUCUCUGGCUUGGGACCGGAAGGCUCGAGGGGUACGUCUGGGGUAGGAGUGAAAUCCUGUAAUCCUGGACGGACCACCGAUGGCGAAAGCACCUCGAGAAGACGGAUCCGACAGUGAGGGACGAAAGCUAGGGUCUCGAACCGGAUUAGAUACCCGGGUAGUCCUAGCCGUAAACGAUGUUCGCUAGGUGUGGCACAGGCUACGAGCCUGUGCUGUGCCGUAGGGAAGCCGAGAAGCGAACCGCCUGGGAAGUACGUCCGCAAGGAUGAAACUUAAAGGAAU